This 429-nucleotide ribosomal RNA is filed under the name bacterium. RNAcentral's name for it is "partial 16S ribosomal RNA". It matches the Rfam family "Bacterial small subunit ribosomal RNA", at positions 355 to 776 of the family's 1533-position model. The record is from RNAcentral.
UAGGGAAUCUUCGGCAAUGGGGGCAACCCUGACCGAGCAACGCCGCGUGAGUGAAGAAGGCUUUCGGAUCGUAAAGCUCUGUUGUAAGAGAAGAACGUGUGUGAGAGUGGAAAGUUCACACAGUGACGGUAACUUACCAGAAAGGGACGGCUAACUACGUGCCAGCAGCCGCGGUAAUACGUAGGUCCCGAGCGUUGUCCGGAUUUAUUGGGCGUAAAGCGAGCGCAGGCGGUUUAAUAAGUCUGAAGUUAAAGGCAGUGGCUUAACCAUUGUUCGCUUUGGAAACUGUUAAACUUGAGUGCAGAAGGGGAGAGUGGAAUUCCAUGUGUAGCGGUGAAAUGCGUAGAUAUAUGGAGGAACACCGGUGGCGAAAGCGGCUCUCUGGUCUGUAACUGACGCUGAGGCUCGAAAGCGUGGGGAGCAAACAGG